Molecule: ribosomal RNA, 492 nt
Filed under: uncultured bacterium
Lineage: Bacteria
Description: partial 16S ribosomal RNA
Rfam family: Bacterial small subunit ribosomal RNA
Source: RNAcentral
AGUGAACGCUGGCGGUAGGCCUAACACAUGCAAGUCGAACGGCAGCACAGUAAGAGCUUGCUCUUACGGGUGGCGAGUGGCGGACGGGUGAGGAAUACAUCGGAAUCUACUUUUUCGUGGGGGAUAACGUAGGGAAACUUACGCUAAUACCGCAUACGACCUACAGGUGAAAGCAGGGGAUCUUCGGACCUUGCGCGAUUGAAUGAGCCGAUGUCGGAUUAGCUAGUUGGCGGGGUAAAGGCCCACCAAGGCGACGAUCCGUAGCUGGUCUGAGAGGAUGAUCAGCCACACUGGAACUGAGACACGGUCCAGACUCCUACGGGAGGCAACAGUGGGGAAUAUUGGACAAUGGGCGCAAGCCUGAUCCAGCCAUACCGCGUGGGUGAAGAAGGCCUUCGGGUUGUAAAGCCCUUUUGUUGGGAAAGAAAAGCAGCAGGUUAAUACCCCGCUGUUCUGACGGUACCCAAAGAAUAAGCACCGGCUAACUUCGUG